This 253-nucleotide ribosomal RNA is filed under the name uncultured bacterium. RNAcentral's name for it is "partial 16S ribosomal RNA". It matches the Rfam family "Bacterial small subunit ribosomal RNA", at positions 524 to 776 of the family's 1533-position model. The record is from RNAcentral.
UACGUAGGGGGCAAGCGUUGUCCGGAAUCAUUGGGCGUAAAGAGCGUGUAGGCGGCCCGGUAAGUCCGCUGUGAAAGUCCAGGGCUCAACCCUGGGAUGCCGGUGGAUACUGUCGGGCUCGAGUCCGGAAGAGGAGUGUGGAAUUCCUGGUGUAGCGGUGAAAUGCGCAGAUAUCAGGAGGAACACCGAUGGCGAAGGCAGCUCGCUGGGACGGUACUGACGCUGAGACGCGAAAGCGUGGGGAGCAAACAGG